Molecule: ribosomal RNA, 253 nt
Filed under: uncultured bacterium
Lineage: Bacteria
Description: partial 16S ribosomal RNA
Rfam family: Bacterial small subunit ribosomal RNA
Source: RNAcentral
UACGAAGGGGGCUAGCGUUGCUCGGAAUCACUGGGCGUAAAGCGCACGUAGGCGGCUUUCUAAGUCAGGGGUGAAAUCCUGGAGCUCAACUCCAGAACUGCCUUUGAUACUGGGGAGCUCGAGUCCGGAAGAGGUGAGUGGAACUCCGAGUGUAGAGGUGAAAUUCGUAGAUAUUCGGAAGAACACCAGUGGCGAAGGCGACACACUGGGCCAUUACUGACGCUGAGGCGCGAAAGCGUGGGGAGCGAACAGG